CUUGUAACCUUCAGUUCAGCCCCAUCUCUCUGUUGCUGUGGAAGGACUUGGCAUCUAGUAAUUCCCUUCUUGUAAUGAGCUGUACAUCGCUAGCUGGGUACCCACAAUUUCAAGAGAAAGGUCAAAAAGAAAAAAAGUAUAUUGGGAGCAUCCUGCACUCUGAAUUUUCAAGAAAGCAUAUGUUAGUGCAGAGGCCUGCUGUGCGAUAUGAGCUUUCAAGGAACAAGUUCAGAUAGAAGAUCAUUGAGUCAAACCAAAAACAAUUCCAAAAUCACUUAGGAGCGAACAAGACUUUCAAAACUGUUUCCAGUAUCUCCGAAGAAUUGCUGUCUUUCUUGAAAAAAGUCCUACAGUUCCUGCCACCCAGCUCUAAUGCAACCAGUACACCCAUAUUUCAAGAGUACUGAAGCUACAGUAUAUGGAAAUAGUUCCAGUUACUCCAUGCCUCCAGCUUCCAUCUAUGUUCUUCGUUACUUCUCUAUUAUUACUUUUCUUCAUGUCAUAUUACACACUAAUGGCACAAUAGCUGCUGCGCUUGUCAAAUAUACUGUCUUAGUAAAUUGUAAGAAUGCAAAUUGUUCAUAUUUGCCUCUAUAAAACAAUAAAUCCUUGCUU
Molecule: long non-coding RNA, 615 nt
Organism: Anas platyrhynchos (mallard)
Lineage: Eukaryota; Metazoa; Chordata; Aves; Anseriformes; Anatidae
Source: RefSeq, a predicted model, not a curated record